GACGAACGCUGGCGGCGUGCUUAACACAUGCAAGUCGAACGGAAGAGCCCUGCUUUUGUGGGGUGCCCGAGUGGCGAACGGGUGAGUAACAUGUGAGUAACCUGCCCUUGACUUUGGGAUGUCUUCAGGAAGCUGGUACUAAUACCGGCGAGCAGCUCCUGCAGCUUGGUGGGGGUCGGAACGUUUGGUCGGUUGGGGAUGGACUCGCGGCUUACGAGCUUGUUGGUGGGGUAGUGGCUUACCAAGGCUUUGACGGCUAGCCGGCCUGGGAGGGUGAACGGGGACAUUGGGACUGAGAGACGGCGCAGACUGCAACGGGAGGCAGCAGUGGGGAAUAUGGUACAAUGGGGGGGAGCCUGAUGCGGCAGCGCCCCGUGUGGGAUGACGGCCUUGGGGGUGGAAAGCGCAUUAGCUUAUGACGAAGCGUGAGUGACGGUAAUGGGUAAAGAAGCACCGGCUAACUACGUG
Molecule: ribosomal RNA, 468 nt
Filed under: uncultured bacterium
Lineage: Bacteria
Description: partial 16S ribosomal RNA
Rfam family: Bacterial small subunit ribosomal RNA
Source: RNAcentral